Molecule: long non-coding RNA, 4318 nt
Organism: Podarcis raffonei (Aeolian wall lizard)
Lineage: Eukaryota; Metazoa; Chordata; Lepidosauria; Squamata; Lacertidae
Exons: 3
Source: RefSeq, a predicted model, not a curated record
AAUGGCGGGUGCAUCCGAGGUCCGGCAAGCUCUGGGUCUCCUCCACUGUCCUUCCUCCCUGCUUCUGGUGUCUGCCAGGCAGUGGCUUCUGUGACAAGGGCAAGGAUCGUAUGGCCCUCCAGAUGCAGCCGGGCUACUACACAUCCCCUCAUCAGUCCUGCCCGUGGGUCCCGCUGACUGGCCGGGGUGGGUGGGAGUUGGAGUCCGCCUUUCCCCCCACCUUUUACUAAGCGCUAUUAUUGGCAAUAAGGACAAAUGGAGAGCUGGGGGCGGGUGUUGGGAAGUAGAAGGCAAGGCUGCCGCGGAAGGGCCACCAAGAGCAGGGGAGACCCCAGCCCGGCCUCUCUCAGAAGCCAGGCCCGGAGCCAAAGCUCUUCCGAGGAGACGCGUGACCCCCCUGGUUCCCUCCAGGCUUCCAGGCUCUUUCUAGCCCGAGCCUGGGCUCUUCUAGUGGUGGGCGGUGAAAUGCGGGUGACCGCAGCAGGCCCUUAAGAAGCACUUACAUUGAUGCAUUGCUUAACAAAUCCGAAGUGGCAAAUAAUCACUCUGGGGGAUGACCCAGCUUGGAGAAGGGAGCAAUAAUGUGGGCUGCUCCAGAGAAAGAGAGAGAAAGGAAGGAAGGAAGGGGGGAAAAGGAAGACGGGGAAAGUCUGGAGCCAGUUCUUUGGGGAAAUCUUUCGAAGCGAAGAACCAUAGGCAGGCACAUCUUCCCCACGGCGAGCUUUUCUUUCGGAAAAGACCGAUAAGAGCCUCACCAUGGAGAAAUCCGGACCCGAGAGCGGAAGAGAGGCGGCGGCUGACUUGUCCCCUUGAAGGAAAGGAAAGGCACCAAAAUUCAGCCACUCCUAAGGUAGAGCGUGUACAGAAAUAAUUCCCUUCAGUCUUCCAGGGACAGUUGGAGUUGGCUGAAUCUGACUCUACAAACUGGCUUUGGGCCAAGGAUCAUAACGGGUGCUAUAAGAACAGCUGCAGAUCUGGGUCUCUUUUCCUGCUAUUCUCUAUGGUAUCUACUGCAAGCAAUGCACCUUAUGCUGUCAUCACACAGUGUGUCUCCCCUAGCCUACCAGCUGCUGAUGUCAGGUAGAGACAAUGAGACACACAGUGCAAUGGCCAACAUACAGUUGGCCCCAGAGAAGAAACUGCUUCUUCAACCACCACGUAGUCAAACGAUGGCAUUUGCUCCCACAAGAUUUAGUGAUUGCCACCAGCUUGGAUAGUUUUAAAAGGGGUUAGAUGAAAUCACAAAGGAUAAGGCUGUCAAUGGGUACUAGUAUAACGUCCAGUAUCAGAGGAAGGAUGUCUGAAUUGCUGGGGAACAUGACGCGGGAGAAUGCUAUAGCACUCAUGUCCUGCUUCGAGGGGAGGACCUGAUUAUUAGCCGCUGUGAGAGCAGGAUGCUGAACUAUAUCGCCCUGUGGUCUGAUCAAGGGCUCUUACAUUCAGAACCCCAAACCAAGGCUUGCAAAAAGCACUCACAGAAGCGAACGACACAUGGCAAGUACGUCAGCUUCUCAUCUUGUUUCAGAAAUCCUGUAGCUUGGCUAGGGACCAUUUCCUACUAAGGUCUGUCACCAUAUAUCUGGCAGGAAACAUUCCCUUUCCUCUUUAUCCAAUGGCUAAAACUAAUCCAUGGAGGAUUAUGCAUAUAAACUGCGGAUGGCAAUGCACCUUAAGCAUGAAUAUGACAGGUCAUAGUUUCCUGCAAAUCAAACUUAAGCUUGCAAAGUCCCAUCUCAUCCGAGGGUUUAAAUUGGAUUAGUUAUUUUUAAACCUCACAGAAGGGGCAUUAAAAUGUGCUUUUCAAGCAGCCACAAGCAAUUCCUGCCGUAGGGCAUGGGCUGCUCUGCUCAUAAUUCCUCUCCCUAUCCCUUUAAAUAACCCCAAGUGAUGAGACAGAAAAUAAUAUGCCCAGGCACAGGAAGGCACUCUACUUGCCUUUGCUGAUUGUUGACUUUAGAGAAUUCAGAUUUCACUUGUGGGUUGGGGUUUGUUUUGUUUCACAAUCCAGGAUUUGCUGUUCUACCAGAAUUCAGCAGGAUAUAUAUAUAUAUAUAUAAAGAAACCAACAACCCUCAGUCCUACCCAUAACUCCUUAAAGAGAUCGUUACUGGAAUGAAUAGUCUACAAAGUUGAAGGUAGCAUGCAACUCAGUCACCUAAGAAUCACCAGGUUAUAAAACUACCUAAAUCCUUGCCUUCCUUCCUUCCCUUUCUUGUUACAUUCUGAUCUGGAAACCACUGCUGCCAUUGUUAGCUUUGAGCUACUCUGCAAUUUCUGGCCAAGUUAAGUAGGGGCUCUAGCUUAACUCUUACAUUUAAUACCUUGGGUUUGUCAUGCAGUAUCUCCUUUGCAAUUGCAAUAUCAAGACAAGAGCCUCAAGAUUUGAUAUGCGCAUUCCUGGCAAAAUGUGUCCACAUUUGAAUACCCACCCUAUCCACCCACCUGUUUUUAUGGGAAAAGUACAACUUUAUAAAUGUCUGGAAUUUUUAGGGAGCUUCCUCUUCCGCUUCUGUGGAUUGAAUUAUUCCUUUUUCUUUCCAUUUUAGCUAGAUCUAGGCUUGCAGAAAAUUUUAUUGUGGAGUUGGUGCUACUCAAUGGAUUUUUUUUUCACAGCAGCCACAUGACAUUGUCCUCAUCAAAAAUACCAUUCCACAUGGCCCCAUUUAAUCAGGAUUCUGUGACGGAGUCUGCCCCUUUUGGGAUUGCUUGCUUGCUGGACUCAGCGCCUUUUGAGAUUGCUAGCUUGCUUCCAUAGAAGUUAGCCAAGAGUUAAAAUAUUCAUAAACCUCAGGUUUCAAAGAGUUAGCCACGGCUCUAAUGGGGACACCUGUUUUCUUCCUAAAUGUUCUCAAUGAUCAACCCUAUAUUCACUGGUACUGGACCAAAAGAACUGAAAGAUUUGUUGCCUUGCUGACAUGGGAUUUCAAAGGGAUGCGCUUAACUUUUGCAUACAGAUCUCAAAUCCAACUUUGCACUCUGCAUGCUCCAAGUUUAGGUAUACCCCAUCACUGCUCACUUUCUCUAGACUUUUGCUUAGUUCUUUCACACUUCCAGACUAAGGUGUCUGUACUGAAUAUUUGCUCCUUGCACAUUUGUAACUUGGCUGUCUUAAGAGCAGCACACAUCUUCUCUGCUUUUCUUUUCUGUGCAAUAAACCAAUCUUCUACUUCCUGGUGUGGCAAGUUCUUUAUUAGGCAUAAGGUUUAAAGGUUUACACACAUUUUAAAUGGAUGCACGUCCUGACUCCACGCAAAAGGUUCCAUUCCUCUCAAAAGUGCGCAUUGGAUCGAUACAUGUGGUGGACACAUAUGAGGGUUCAGAUAUGCAUCUUUUAACAGUUUCUCAUCGUACAGGAGCUUUAGGCAGACAGAAGUGUAAAUUGCUUUGGCUUGCUCCAGAGCCCAGCAUAUGAGGCAACCUUGCAUCUACUCUGGAGUUAAUGGGAGGGUCGCAUUGAUUCUGCUCUCCAGAUUUGCGGGAGGGAUCCCUGGGUUGUGCUAAGUGGAUUCGUCAAACCUGUUUCAAGGGAUAGUAGCUCUGUACUGAAAUGAAUGGAAACUGUAAAGCAGCAGUAAUGGACGUUUUCCACCAGUCUGGCAUGAUUCAGCCAGUUAAGCACUUUUCAGUUCUGCUUUCAAAGGCUGAAAUGUAUUCACUUAAUGACUGAGCUCCAUGAGCUGUGGCCAACUAAGCCCAACUCAGAGUAGACACACUGAAAUUAAUGAAGUCAAGUUAGUUAAGUCCAUUAGUUUCAAUGGGUUCUCGCUGUAUAUGACCAACAUCGGAUACAACCCAGGAAGAUUAUAAAGGCUGCAAUCCAAUGUCCAUUUUCCUGGAUGCAAGUCUUGUUGAACGCACAGAGGACUCACCCACCCUUCUGCUUUUACAUUUGCCCCGCUGCUUUCCCCAGGAAAACCUGCUCCUUACUGCUGAAUCUGAGCAAAUGUCAGUCCACAAAAAACCCCACUGAGGUUUGCUGAUUCAGCAAAAAGUGGGUUUUUCUGGGGGAAAGUGUUAGGACAAGCAGAAGUGUGGCCAAUCCCCGUGAUUUACUUCUGAGUAAACAGGCACAGAAGUAUACAGCAGAACUGCUUAACAUUAAUUGCGCUGUGUCCAUAAUUUUAAAAGAACUUUUUUUUGUUGUCACAAGUUAUGUGGGUUGAAAUAUUAUUGGCUUCUUGAGCAGACAGCUGAUAAUUUGUUUAUUUUCAAGAAGUAAGGCUAUACAGAUGUCUUGACAAAACUAUCAGGUUAAAUGCACUUGUUAUCUGUUAGAAAUGAAAGUUAACAAUAAAUAAGUGAUUUAUGCUGUCAAUAA